UGCAAGUUGUCCUCUGACCUCCACAAGUGCUCCAUCCUCACAAAUUAUAUAGUGACACAUCAGCUCCUGGCAGCACUCCAAUCUACUUGAAAGAAGAUGAUGGGCAUCGAAGAACCUCCACAUGGAGUGUGCUUCAAACAUGGCAAAGCUAGCCACUGGGCAGAAAGUUGCCCUUACCUCAACAACUGACAGCAGGCUGUCCAAAGUGUGGACAAGCAGGACACUGGAAAGUCCACUGUCCAACUUUGCAGAGAUAAGACACUGCAACCUGGUAUAGAUGGUCCUGGAACUAAUCUCUGUCAGAUAUUGAAGGACUACCACAUCUGAACCAAUUCCUCCUGCCAAGAUCUGCUUCUGGGAAAAAUUAAAGACAAAUAGUGACCAAGAUAAAGAACAACCCUGCCAUGGAGAAGUCUUUGGGUCCUUGGUGGAUUUGUGUAUCAUUUUAGACUGCAUGCUUAGCCUGCAGUUUACCCUGGGCACUAACAAACACUAGUGAAUGAAUGAAUAAAUGUUCUGACUUAUCCC
This is a long non-coding RNA of Mastomys coucha (southern multimammate mouse), 528 nucleotides long. RefSeq lists it as uncharacterized. The record is from RefSeq and is a predicted model, not a curated record. The transcript is spliced from 3 exons. NCBI's taxonomy places the organism in Eukaryota, Metazoa, Chordata, Mammalia, Rodentia, Muridae.